Molecule: long non-coding RNA, 1195 nt
Organism: Cyprinus carpio carpio
Lineage: Eukaryota; Metazoa; Chordata; Actinopteri; Cypriniformes; Cyprinidae
Source: Ensembl
UAUCAACAAUAGUCAAAGUGGUAGGCGUUUUUCCUCAUUGUCAUUUAUGUUUGAAGGCCACAAUAGCCCUGCAAUGCCAGUUGCAUAACCUGGAGGCCAUGAAAACGGAAAUGGACGUCUCAGACAAUCAACUGGAGAGGUGGAUCAUUGAUAUCAAUGAGUGGGCAGAAGGUAGGAUAUACUGUUUUUAUACUGUUUGAUAUGGUGCUUGAUGUAUCACUUCUGACUUAUUUUGGCUGCAAUUCCAAAGAGGCUCAUUGUAAUCGUAGUCAAAGAGCACAUACUCUGAUUGCCGAUGACGUGUGGACAAGAUUAUCCCUAUGGGGACAAUAAAGAACCUAACUAUACUCAACCUUAGCUACAAGUGUAGCCUCUCAGUUACAGAUAAAUAUGAAAAGAUUGUUGAGGCUUUAUUUUGCUCAUACACCAGAAAUAAUAUUUUUUCAUGGAAUCAAGAAGCAUAUUUCUUAUCUCUUAAUUUCUUCCUCUCAGCAACAACAUCCCCAAAUGAUGCUGAUGUUGCCGCUGUUGCCAGCCGAAUUGAGGAGCUGGUGGCAAGUGUUAAGAGGAGGUCCCAGCGUCUUUACAAGGAUAGUGACGGAUGCAAAGGACGUGCCCGAAUCCGCCGAAAGAUCAGGGAGGAAAAAAAAAAUAAAAAUUCUGUUGUUGUUCUAAACCUGUAUGAAUUUCCCUCUGCUGUUUGCUGAACGCAAAAGAAUAUAUUUGGAUACUGGUAACCAAAAAUUAAAAAAAUAAAAAUAAAUAAAAAAUACACUAUUGGAGUCAAUGGGGACCAGAAACUGUCUGGUUAUAAGCAUUCUUCAAUAUAUCUUCUGUUAUGUUGAAGAAAACAACUUGAGGGUGAGUAAAUGAUUACAGUAUUUUCAUUUUUGGGUGAAGAUCUCAUAAUGCCAGGAUCUCAUAUAGCCUAUACUACACAUGCUUUAUCUUUAACUACAAACCCAGCUCCAAAGAAGUUGGGACACUGUACAAAUUGUGAAUAAAAACAGAAUGCAAUGAUGUGGAAGUUUCAAAUUUCAAUAUUUUAUUCAGAAUAUAACAUAGAUGACAUAUCAAAUGUUUAAACUGAGAAAAUGUAUCAUUUUAAGGGAAAAAUAAGUUGAUUUUAAAUUUCAUGGCAUCAACACAUCUCAAAAAAGUUGGGACAAGGCCAUGUUUACCACUAUGUGGCAUC